Molecule: ribosomal RNA, 333 nt
Filed under: uncultured bacterium
Lineage: Bacteria
Description: partial 16S ribosomal RNA
Rfam family: Bacterial small subunit ribosomal RNA
Source: RNAcentral
CCUACGGGUGGCAGCAGUCGAGAAUCAUUCACAAUGGGGGAAACCCUGAUGGAGCGACGCCGCGUGGGGGAAUGAAGGUCUGCGGAUUGUAAACCCCUGUCAUGAGGGAGCAAAUUAAAAAGAUAGUACCACAAGAGGAAGAGACGGCGAACACGGUGCCAGCAGCCGCGGUAAGACAGAGGGCGCCAGCGGUGUUCGGAUUCACUGGGCGUAAAGCGUUCGUAGGCGGUUUCGUCAGUCGUGUGUGAAAGGCGCGGGCUCAACCCGCGGACGGCACCUGAUACUGCGAGACUAGAGUAAUGGAGGGGUCACCGGAAUUCUCGGUGUAGCUGU